CCCUUAGAUGUUCUGGGCCGCACGCGCGCUACACUGAUGCAUUCAACGAGUUUCUUCCUGGUCCGAGAGGAAUGGGUAACCUUUUGAAAGUGCAUCGUGAUAGGGAUAGACUAUUGCAAUUAUUGGUCUUCAACGAGGAAUUCCUAGUAGACGUAGUUCAUCAGACUGCAUCGAUUACGUCCCUGCCCUUUGUACACACCGCCCGUCGCUCCUACCGAUUGAAUGCUCAGGUGAGCCAUUCGGACUUUCAUCAUGCUGGUUUCCAGUUUGGAUGAAGGAAAGUCUUGCGAACCUUAUCAUUUAGAGGAAGGAGAAGUCGUAACA
Molecule: ribosomal RNA, 324 nt
Filed under: uncultured eukaryote
Lineage: Eukaryota
Description: partial 18S ribosomal RNA
Rfam family: Eukaryotic small subunit ribosomal RNA
Source: RNAcentral